AGCGAUUCCCCUGCCUCAGCCUCUCGAGUUGCUGGAACUACAGGCACGUGCCACCACGCUGAGCUAAUUUUUAUACUUUUAGUAGAGACGGAGUUUCACCAUGUUGGCCAGGAUGGUCUCAAUCUCUUGACCUCGUGAUCCACCUGCCUCGGCCUCCCAAAGUGCUGGGAUUACAGGCAUUAGCCAUGGCGCACAGCCUGGAACACUGUGCAACUGUGAAAAAAAUUAAUCUAUAGAGAGGAUAAUCACACAAGGUUAUACAAGUGGUUCAUAGAAGUGGAUAUUACAUUCUGCUGGCCUAAAUGUCUUAGUUCCAGAAGAAGGACCGCUGCCACCAGGAGACACAACGAUUCCAUUAAACUGCAAGUUAAGAAUGCCAUCUGACCACUUUGGGCUCCUCCUACCUCUCACCAACAAGCUAAGAAGGGAGUUACAGUGUUGGCUGGAGUGAUUGACCCGGACUACCAAGUCUACUACUCCGCAAUGGAAGCUCAUAAGCAGAAGGGACUCACCUUAUCUCAGAUAAGACGCUGGACUUGGACUUUUGUUAAUGCUGGAAUGAGUUAAGCCUUUGGGUUACUGUUGAGAAGGGAUAAUUGUAUUUUAAAAUGUGAGAAGGACAUGAGAUUUGGGAGGGGUCGGGGCAAAAUGAUAUUGUUUGUUUCUGUGUCCCCAACCAAAUCUCAUGUUGAAUUGUAAUCCCCAUGUGUCAGGGCUGGGACCUGGAGGGAGGAGAUCAGAUCAUGGGAGCAGAUUCCCCCAUGCUGCUCUUGUGAUAGUGAGUGAGUUUUCACAAGUUCUGAUGAUUUAAAAAUGUGGCACUUCCCCCGCUCUCUUCUGCUGCCUUGUGAAGAAGGUGCUUGCUUCUCCUUCACCUUCUGUCAUGAUUGUAAGUUUCCUGAGGCCACCCUAGCCAAGCAGAAAUGUGAGUCAAUUAAAUAUAUUUUCGUUAUAAAUUACCCAUUCUCAGAUAGUUCUUUAUAGCAGUGUGAAAACAGACUAAUGCAAUCAUUAUCAAGUAUUCUGUACUGUAUGUAAUUGAAUGUGACAUCACUUUUGUACAACUGGCAAUACAAUAAGCUUGAUUUCACUAACAUCACCACAAAAAUGUGAGUUUUUCAUUGUAUUGUGAUGUUACAAUGUCUACGAUGUCACUAGGCUAUAAGGACAUUUUAGGUCCAUUGAAAUCUUAUGGGGCCACCAUCGUAUAUGUGUUCAAUCACUAAUUGAACGUUUUUAUAUGGCAUAUGACUGUAUAGGUCAAACAUUAUCAAAUUGUAUACCUUAAAUAUGUGUAGUUUAUUGUAUUUCAAUUUUAUCUCAAUAAAACCACUUUAAAAUAUCCAUACUGUAAGGACUCAUCACCCCAUAACAAAACAAUGUUUCAAGAAUUAUGUAGAACAGUUUAUUUUUAAAAACCCACCAUCAUACAGAAAAAAAGAAAUCCAUACAGUAUAAAAAGAGUCUUCUCUCUUGAUCAUACUUAUGGCCAAGUUAUCAUCAGUUGUUUUUAUGGGGUACAUUUUUGUCUAAGUGUGCCACAUAUUAUGCUUACACAAAGAUAUCUGGUUUGUGGGACAACUCAUCUGUCCAUUUAUAGUUCUUAAUAAUCAUCUGCACUGUAACAAAAAGUAAUCCUAGUAAUGCUUAGUACAUUUCUCUUAAUAGUGAACAAAUGUCAACAAAAUUUACAUUCAAGGUAAUAUUGCUCCUUUGUCCUAUGGAAUAUGUACUGAGAAAAAAUAUGGAUUUCCAGCUAUCACCCUAUAUAAAUGAAAAGUUGUAGGCUCAUAAGUUAUUCAAAUUUCAAUUAUUCCCCCAUAAAAUAAAUGACUAGUCAUAAACAAAUUCAAAUAUUUAGCUCAAAUUUUUUGAUUACAUUAAUUUAUAUAAUAAAACACACCAAUUAAAAAUGAUUUUGGACAACAAAACUCGAGAUAGUCUUAAGCUAAAUAACAGAUUACAUUACUUUAUAUACAGCAUCUUCUUAUUUUUGUGAAUUUAUAUAUGUCAAAAUGAUGCACAGAUUAUUAUUCUGUAUCUAAUUAUGUAGUCUAAAUAUUUUAAAAUUUGGCUAAAAUACAGGAAAAAGUGACCAGUUUCUCAUAAAUGUGUUUAAUGUGUACUUCCUAAUAGCCUUGGUUUCUUAUAUUAUCAAAGCUCUUAUACAUCGACAAGUAGAUAAAUGUAGAACCCAGUAUACACUUAUAACAUGACUGCAGAGGGCCUAGAAAGUUGUCUCCUAUACUAAAAAUCAUGAAACAUAAUAAUAACAGCAACAGCAGUGGCAAAAACAUAUUGCUAUCUCCACAUCACCAACCUUCUAUCCACUAUGAAUUGUUCAUGUAACUUGAUUCUAUAGCAUUUACUUCUAUCAACAAGUAAUUAACAAAGAGGAAAAUUUUUCUCAUUUUAAAAUAAAAAUAAUUUUCAGAAGAGUUACAUGUCAUUAAAACAAUUGUAUAAUAUAGUUUAUCCAAUUACACUUAUUGAAACAUUUAGUGGGUACUCACUCUAUGCAUGCCACUAUGCUGGGGCCAGAGAUACGAGGAUAAAUAUGUUGCAUUUUUUGCCCUUAAAGUUAUUAUGAUCUUCUAUAGGAAAUAGAGAAAAAUUGAUCAAUUAUUAUAUACAGCAGCAGUCUCCAACCUUUUUGUCAUCAGGGACCAGUUUGUAGAAGAUAAUUUUUCCAUGGACCAAGGCAUAGAUGGUUUGGGGAUAAAACAGUGCCACCUCAGAUCAUCAGGCAUUAGAUUCUCAUAAGGAGUGUGCAACCUAGAUCCCGCACAUCUGUGGUUCACAAUAGUGUUGUUAGAGCUCCUAUGAGAAUCUAAUGCAGCUACUGAUCUGACAGGAGGCGGAGCUUAGGCGGUAAUGCUGUCUAACCCACUGCUCACCUCCCACUGUGUGGCCCAGUCACCAACUGGUACCAGGGGUUUAGGGACCCCUGAUAUAUGGCGUUUGCAAGUAGUAUAAAAAUACACAUGAUAGCCCUUUACCCAAGAUAGUGUGCUAGUGUGUGUGUGUGUGUGAGUGUGUGUGUGUAUGUGUGUGUGUGUGAGAGAGAGGAUAGAAUUAGAAAUGAGAACAGGUUCAGGGGAGGCCUCUUCAAGAAUAAGUGAGAUUGCUCUUGAAAUAAAUUUUGAAGGAUAACUAAGAGUUGAUGAAGCAAAGGAAGGUAGGCCAGUAUUCACAUGCUAGGAAACAACCCAUUUAGAGGCUCAAGGAAAGCUUGCACAUUCAGGAGCCUGCAAAUUGUUGACUAUGACUAGAAUGUAGAGUGUAAAGAAGAAAGUGGCAGUAGAGAGAAAUAAAGGUGAGAUGCAGAGAAUUAAAAUCAUCAUGACCUUGUAUUGUGUGUUAAAAAGUUAAGACAUCAUCCUGAUCAUAUUUUUUCCCUCUAAUAAUUUUAGCUAAGAGUAGUCAUUACGAAAAAGAAGACUUUUAUGACUUUUAUGGGGAGAAUGAGGACAGCACUAACAUUUAUUGAAGACCUGUUUUGUCUGAUGGUUAGGAAGAGUCUGACUCCAUGUUUUAUAUUUGACUGCACAGCAUUUAGGCUCCUACCCUGCCCUGCCCAAACACUAUAUAUCUGGUACUAUAGACAAAUAAACCUGCAUGCCUUUUGAGAUUUUGGGUCCUGUGGAAAUUUGAACUUCACAGCCCCAGACUGAAUGUGAGAACUCCUCUCCAGCCCCACUCUCUCGCCAUUACAAAAGUCAAACCAACUCUCUGCUCAUUGUUCUUGCCGUUCUAGCCAGAUCAGCUUGCAGUUACCUUGCUCUAUGUACAAUUUCCUGAUGUGAAUAAUAAACUCCUUGCAAAUUAUCAAGGUGUGUGAAGUGUCGUCAGUCUGGAUAUGUGGCCUAUUAACUG
Molecule: long non-coding RNA, 3876 nt
Filed under: Homo sapiens (human)
Lineage: Eukaryota; Metazoa; Chordata; Mammalia; Primates; Hominidae
Description: HSALNT0284232
Source: RNAcentral